CCUCGCAGGGUGUCCGCAGGGACCACCCACAGUGACCCGCGCAGUGUGCGGCCCACACAGCCUUCAGGGCCCAGCCCCCGGGUCCUCCCCGCGUGGAGAUGGAGGCGACGGAUCCUCCCUGCUUCCCUGUUCCUCUGGCUCCCUCUUUCUCCAAACGCCCAUGGGAGACACUGGCUGUCGCCGGGUCAUCUAACACGGUGUCGAUAAGCGAGCCAAGGACAUGGCCACGUCAGGCGGCUGGUGCAGUGAGUCCGUGGACAGGAGGGGAGAGACCACAGAACUCCGGUGCCCAGCUGGCUACCACAAGAGAGAAGACGAGGCGAAGACGCCCACGUGCAAGCUGGAGAGAAAGGCCCGAGACAGACUCUUCCUGACGGCCGUCAGAAGGAGCCAGCC
Suricata suricatta (meerkat) is the source of this 396-nucleotide long non-coding RNA. RefSeq lists it as uncharacterized. The transcript has 3 exons. The record is from RefSeq and is a predicted model, not a curated record. Lineage: Eukaryota; Metazoa; Chordata; Mammalia; Carnivora; Herpestidae.